This 253-nucleotide ribosomal RNA is filed under the name uncultured bacterium. Its description in RNAcentral is "partial 16S ribosomal RNA". It matches the Rfam family "Bacterial small subunit ribosomal RNA", at positions 524 to 776 of the family's 1533-position model. The record is from RNAcentral.
UACGUAGGGGGCAAGCGUUGUCCGGAUUUAUUGGGCGUAAAGAGCGUGUAGGCGGCCUGACAGGUCUGCUGUGAAAACUCGAGGCUCAACCUCGAGAUGUCGGCGGAAACCGUCUGGCUAGAGUCCGGAAGAGGAGAGUGGAAUUCCAGGUGUAGCGGUGAAAUGCGUAGAUAUCUGGAGGAACACCGGUGGCGAAGGCGACGUCCUGGACCGGCAUUGACGCUGAGGCGCGAAAGCCAGGGGAGCAAACGGG